This 132-nucleotide non-coding RNA is filed under the name Pseudo-nitzschia fraudulenta. The record is from RNAcentral. Lineage: Eukaryota; Bacillariophyta; Bacillariophyceae; Bacillariales; Bacillariaceae.
GCACACAAUACAAGUAAGAAGUAGUACACGGUACCACAAACACAAAAUCGAAGGGAAAAGAACUCACACACACACACACACACAGAGGUGUUUUGCAUCACGAUCUUUUUUGUUUUGUUUUUUCAUCUUUUU